Long non-coding RNA from Papaver somniferum (opium poppy), 785 nucleotides. RefSeq lists it as uncharacterized. Lineage: Eukaryota; Viridiplantae; Streptophyta; Magnoliopsida; Ranunculales; Papaveraceae. The record is from RefSeq and is a predicted model, not a curated record. The transcript has 4 exons.
CUCCCACUUUACCCAUUUCGUCUUAACCCCACUUUCUUUGAGGAAGUAACUGACGAUAACACACUACAGCAACCUGUGAAAUUUCAAACUGCUAUUUUUGAUUUUCGCAUCCCUGUUUGAUUUGAUCUUUGUUCUCAAAAUCGAGUCUUCGUAACCGCAAUGGGUAUGAUUAGAACCCGAAUAAUUUGGUGUCUAUUAUUGUUCUCCUUGAAGAAUCAAUUAAGCAAUCACCAUUUCGGUUAAACAAUUUCGGAUUCUGCAUGUGAUGCUUCUGUUUUUUGAGAUUUUGGGUUCUCAAAUUUCGGAUUCUACAUUGAUCAUUCUGAAUUUUCUUCACUUUUUUUAGGAAGUGGAGACUUGGAAUUCAAAAGCCUUACAACCACAGGUUUUUUGGAAACUUCAAAGUCUCUGUAGUGAUCAUGUUCUCAACGAGGUACGUACUUUACUUUGGUUUGAAAAGUAAAGUUGUUAAGAAGUCUGAUACCGGACGUAGUUGUAACCCUGAAGUUAUCUUCAUAAUCAGUGCAUGUUGGUGUUUUUAUCAAACCUAUUGCCAAAAUUCUAUGCAAUGAAGAAUUUCUUAUUCUAAGUAUACCAUUUCAGGUAUGUCUCAUACUACAUAUUAUGAGCCUUCUUCUCCCUUUCAAAUUAAAUGUAACUACUAUCUUCCCAUUUUAUGUUCUUUCCAUGUGUUCCACGGAAUGGCUUGAAUGUAAGCAAAAAAACAUCAUUAUUAUGUACUCUUAUCAUUCAUUGUGUAUUAGCAAGGAGUAACCUAACAUUUA